UUAGGAAUUUUGCGCAAUGGGGGAAACCCUGACGCAGCAACGCCGCGUGAAGGAUGAAGGCCUUCGGGUCGUAAACUUCUUUUAGUAAGGAAGAAACAAAUGACGGUACUUACAGAAAAAGCACCGGCUAACUUCGUGCCAGCAGCCGCGGUAAUACGAAGGGUGCAAGCGUUAUUCGGAAUCACUGGGCGUAAAGAGCUCGUAGGCUGUUAAUUUAGUCAGAUGUGAAAUCCCUAGACUCAAUCUAGGACGUGCAUCUGAUACUGAUUGACUAGAGUGCAGGAGAGGAAAGCGGAAUUCCAGGUGUAGAGGUGAAAUUCGUAGAUAUCUGGAGGAACAACAGAGGCGAAGGCGGCUUUCUGGACUGUCACUGACGCUGAGGAGCGAAAGCGUGGGGAGCAAACA
Molecule: ribosomal RNA, 405 nt
Filed under: uncultured bacterium
Lineage: Bacteria
Description: bacterial SSU rRNA
Rfam family: Bacterial small subunit ribosomal RNA
Source: RNAcentral